This 873-nucleotide ribosomal RNA is filed under the name uncultured bacterium. RNAcentral's name for it is "bacterial SSU rRNA". It matches the Rfam family "Bacterial small subunit ribosomal RNA", at positions 28 to 896 of the family's 1533-position model. The record is from RNAcentral.
AGCGAACGCUGGCGGCGUGCCUAACACAUGCAAGUCGAGUGCGCAGUCUGGUGUAGCAAUACAUCAGGCCGGCGCACGGCGCACGGGUGAGUAACACGUGGGCAAUCUGCCCUCCAAUAGGGGAUAACCCGCCGAAAGGCGGGCUAAUACCGUAUGACAUUCCGGGGACCUCGGUCCUUGGAUUCAAAGGUCGCAAGGCCGUUGGGGGAGGAGCCCGCGCCCGAUUAGCUAGUUGGCGAGGUAAUGGCUCACCAAGGCUUUGAUCGGUAGCCGGUCUGAGAGGAUGGCCGGCCACACUGGAACUGAGACACGGUCCAGACUCCUACGGGAGGCAGCAGUGGGGAAUAUUGCGCAAUGGGCGAAAGCCUGACGCAGCGACGCCGCGUGGGGGAUGAAGCUUCUCGGAGUGUAAACCCCUUUCGACCCGGAAGAAUGUCCCGCAAGGGAUUGACGGUACGGGUAUAAGAAGCCCCGGCUAACUACGUGCCAGCAGCCGCGGUAAUACGUAGGGGGCCAGCGUUGCUCGGAAUUACUGGGCGUAAAGGGUUCGUAGGCGGUGCGGCAAGUCGGAAGUGAAAUUCCUGGGCUCAACUCAGGGGCUGCUCCCGAAACUGCCGUGCUUGAGUGCGGGAGGGGCGAGUGGAAUUACAGGUGUAGCGGUGAAAUGCGUAGAUAUCUGUAGGAACACCCGUGGCGAAGGCGGCUCGCUGGACCGCAACUGACGCUGAGGAACAAAGCUAGGGGAGCAAACAGGAUUAGAUACCCUGGUAGUCCUAGCCCUAAACGAUCAGGACUUGGGGUGCAUCCCGUUGGGGGUGCGUCCCGUAGCUAACGCGUUAAGUCCUGCGCCUGGGGAGUACGGUCGCAAGGCUG